RNAcentral lists this ribosomal RNA (233 nucleotides) under uncultured bacterium. RNAcentral's name for it is "partial 16S ribosomal RNA". It matches the Rfam family "Bacterial small subunit ribosomal RNA", at positions 99 to 334 of the family's 1533-position model. The record is from RNAcentral.
CGAACGGGUGAGUAAUGUAUCGGAACGUGCCCAGUAGUGGGGGAGUAACUACUCGAAAGAGUAGCUAAUACCGCAUGAGAACUGAGGUUGAAAGCGGGGGACCUUCGGGCCUCGCGCUACUGGAGCGGCUGAUAUCAGAUUAGGUAGUUGGUGGGGUAAAGGCUUACCAAGCCUGCGAUCUGUAGCUGGUCUGAGAGGACGACCAGCCACACUGGGACUGAGACACGGCCCAG